RNAcentral lists this ribosomal RNA (460 nucleotides) under Ectopseudomonas oleovorans. RNAcentral describes it as "bacterial SSU rRNA". It matches the Rfam family "Bacterial small subunit ribosomal RNA", at positions 36 to 492 of the family's 1533-position model. Lineage: Bacteria; Pseudomonadati; Pseudomonadota; Gammaproteobacteria; Pseudomonadales; Pseudomonadaceae. The record is from RNAcentral.
CUGGCGGCGGCCUACACAUGCAAGUCGAGCGGAUGAGGGGAGCUUGCUCCCUGAUUUAGCGGCGGACGGGUGAGUAAUGCCUAGGAAUCUGCCUGGUAGUGGGGGAUAACGUUCCGAAAGGAACGCUAAUACCGCAUACGUCCUACGGGAGAAAGCAGGGGACCUUCGGGCCUUGCGCUAUCAGAUGAGCCUAGGUCGGAUUAGCUAGUUGGUGAGGUAAUGGCUCACCAAGGCGACGAUCCGUAACUGGUCUGAGAGGAUGAUCAGUCACACUGGAACUGAGACACGGUCCAGACUCCUACGGGAGGCAGCAGUGGGGAAUAUUGGACAAUGGGCGAAAGCCUGAUCCAGCCAUGCCGCGUGUGUGAAGAAGGUCUUCGGAUUGUAAAGCACUUUAAGGUUGGGAGGAAGGGCAGUAAGCUAAUACCUUGCUGUUUUGACGUUACCGACAGAAUAAGCA